GACGAACGCUGGCGGCGUGCCUAAUACAUGCAAGUAGAACGCUGAAGAGAGGAGCUUGCUCUUCUUGGAUGAGUUGCGAACGGGUGAGUAACGCGUAGGUAACCUGCCUUGUAGCGGGGGAUAACUAUUGGAAACGAUAGCUAAUACCGCAUAACAAUGGAUGACACAUGUCAUUUAUUUGAAAGGGGCAAUUGCUCCACUACAAGAUGGACCUGCGUUGUAUUAGCUAGUAGGUGAGGUAAUGGCUCACCUAGGCGGCGAUACAUAGCCGACCUGAGAGGGUGGACGGCCACACUGGGACUGAGACACGGCCCAGACUCCUACGGGAGGCAGCAAGAGGGAAUCUUCGGCAAUGGGGGCAAACCUGACCGAGCAACGCCGCGUGGGUGAAGAAGGUUUUCGGAUCGUAAAGCUCUGUUGUAAGUCAAGAACGAGUGUGAGAGUGGAAAGUUCACACUGUGACGGUAGCUUACCAGAAAGGGACGGCUAACUACGUG
Molecule: ribosomal RNA, 497 nt
Filed under: uncultured bacterium
Lineage: Bacteria
Description: partial 16S ribosomal RNA
Rfam family: Bacterial small subunit ribosomal RNA
Source: RNAcentral